RNAcentral lists this ribosomal RNA (328 nucleotides) under uncultured bacterium. RNAcentral describes it as "bacterial SSU rRNA". It matches the Rfam family "Bacterial small subunit ribosomal RNA", at positions 772 to 1094 of the family's 1533-position model. The record is from RNAcentral.
ACUAAAUAGAUACCCCGGUAGUCCACGCCCUAAACGAUGUCUACUAGUUGUCGGGUCUUAAUUGACUUGGUAACGCAGCUAAACGCGUGAAAGUAGACCGCCUGGGGAGUACGGUCGCAAGAUUAAAACUCAAAGGAAUUAGACGGGGUACCCGCGACAAGCGGUGGAUGAUGUGGAUUAAUUCGAUGCAACGCGAAAAACCUUACCUACCCUUGACAUGGAAGGAAUCCCUGAGAGAUCGGGGAGUGCUCGAAAGAGAACCUUUACACAGGUGCUGCAUGGCUGUCGUCAGCUCGUGUCGUGAGAUGUUGGGUUAAGUCCCGCAACG